UUGUAUGGCAUCUGUAGCAGUGGAAGGAACAAACACAGAGAUAUAUGGUGCUGUUUCUCCUGCCACCUGUGCUGGUGGAUGGGGGAUCGUCCUAGGAAACCAGCAGAGACUGAUGCUGACAGAAUGCGUGUUUAUACAAAGCAUACACAAGUCCUGAAGGAUAAUGAAGAAAAAGCAUUUGCGGAAGGAGCCAGCCAAAGCAGAGUUUAAGAGGACAGCAUUCCACACAGAGUGAAGAUCUGACAUUCAGAACGUGAGACUGAAAGGGCCAGCCAUUUCCAAGAGACAGAAGAAGGAGAGUGGGUCUAAAAUCUCACAACCAAGGUGAAAGGAUCAAGCUGCUUCAGGAAGACUAGAAGGGGACAAAAAGCAGAAAGAACACUCCUGAGACUGUCACAUUAGCUGAGACAUGACUUACAUGAAGAUAGUAACAAUGGCUAACAUUAAGGCAUGUGCAUGUGCCAAAGAGAGAAACCCAACAGUGAGGGAAAAAUUAAUGCUGCAGGAGAGAGAGGAAAUCGUUGCAGAAGCAAAGACCUUGAGGUACUGAGAAAGGAUGACCCUAAUUUCCUCAAUGAUGCACUAAGUAUUUGUUUACUGUAAGUCUUAGCUAAACCAUUGAAUAAAGCGAUUCUA
This is a long non-coding RNA of Mustela lutreola (European mink), 636 nucleotides long. RefSeq lists it as uncharacterized. NCBI's taxonomy places the organism in Eukaryota, Metazoa, Chordata, Mammalia, Carnivora, Mustelidae. The transcript has 5 exons. The record is from RefSeq and is a predicted model, not a curated record.